RNAcentral lists this ribosomal RNA (245 nucleotides) under uncultured bacterium. RNAcentral's name for it is "partial 16S ribosomal RNA". It matches the Rfam family "Bacterial small subunit ribosomal RNA", at positions 524 to 768 of the family's 1533-position model. The record is from RNAcentral.
GACGAACCGUCCAAACGUUAUUCGGAAUCACUGGGCUUAAAGGGUGCGUAGGUGGUCCGGUAAGUUGGGUGUGAAAUACCUCGGCCUAACCGAGGAAUGGCGCCCAAAACUGUCGGACUCGAGGAAGGCAGAGGUGAACGGAACUUAGGGUGGAGCGGUGAAAUGCGUUGAUAUCCUAGGGAACACCAGUAGCGAAAGCGGUUCACUGGGCCUUUUCUGACACUGAUGCACGAAAGCCAGGGGAG